AAAUGGAAAGGUGAUACUGUGAAUGUCAGACUUCCAAGAAAUUCAUCUUCUAUGUGGUCAUGAUUAACCUGAACUCCUACGUUCUCAAGGCUUUUAACAUAAAGCCAACAGCUAUUUUGAAAUCAUAAUGUCAGAUUUAUAUACCAUAGGGUGCAAGGAUUCUACUGCCUUUCCACUGCACAAAGCAAGGAUUCUGUCUUCUUUAUACUGCACUAAGUCAAGUGAACAUAUUACUGUGGGGUAGAUGCUCUCGCAGAUUUUCUUACCUGGAGACUCUUCAGAGCUACAGUGAACUGAAUAUUUCCUGUUGAUCAAUUUACAUACACAU
Long non-coding RNA from Neofelis nebulosa (Clouded leopard), 328 nucleotides. RefSeq lists it as uncharacterized. NCBI's taxonomy places the organism in Eukaryota, Metazoa, Chordata, Mammalia, Carnivora, Felidae. The record is from RefSeq and is a predicted model, not a curated record. The transcript is spliced from 3 exons.